This 230-nucleotide ribosomal RNA is filed under the name uncultured bacterium. RNAcentral describes it as "partial 16S ribosomal RNA". It matches the Rfam family "Bacterial small subunit ribosomal RNA", at positions 524 to 751 of the family's 1533-position model. The record is from RNAcentral.
GACGAACCGUGCGAACGUUAUUCGGAAUCACUGGGCUUAAAGCGCGUGUAGGCGGAUGGGGACGUCGGUCGCUGAAAUCCCCCGGCUCAACUGGGGAACGGGCGCCGAAACGCCCCGUCUGGAGGGACGUAGGGGGACCUGGAACUUCCGGUGGAGCGGUGAAAUGCGUUGAGAUCGGAAGGAACGCCCGUGGCGAAAGCGAGGUCCUGGACGUCGUUCUGACGCUGAGA